CCGCACGGGUGAGUAACGCGUAUGCAACUUACCUAUCAGAGGGGGAUAACCCGGCGAAAGUCGGACUAAUACCGCAUGAAGCAGGGGCCCCGCAUGGGGAUAUUUGCUAAAGAUUCAUCGCUGAUAGAUAGGCAUGCGUUCCAUUAGGCAGUUGGCGGGGUAACGGCCCACCAAACCGACGAUGGAUAGGGGUUCUGAGAGGAAGGUCCCCCACAUUGGUACUGAGACACGGACCAA
RNAcentral lists this ribosomal RNA (237 nucleotides) under uncultured bacterium. RNAcentral's name for it is "partial 16S ribosomal RNA". It matches the Rfam family "Bacterial small subunit ribosomal RNA", at positions 98 to 334 of the family's 1533-position model. The record is from RNAcentral.